UACAGAGGGUGCAAGCGUUGUUCGGAAUUAUUGGGCGUAAAGCGCGUGUAGGCGGCUUUGCAAGUCGGGUGUGAAAGCCCUCGGCUCAACCGAGGAAGUGCGCCCGAAACUGCAGAGCUUGAGUACCGGAGAGGGUGGCGGAAUUCCCCAAGUAGAGGUGAAAUUCGUAGAUAUGGGGAGGAACACCGGUGGCGAAGGCAGGGUCGUCUGGGGCAUUAACUGACGCUGGAGGAGCGAAAGCAUGGGGAGCGAAACAGG
Molecule: ribosomal RNA, 258 nt
Filed under: uncultured bacterium
Lineage: Bacteria
Description: partial 16S ribosomal RNA
Rfam family: Bacterial small subunit ribosomal RNA
Source: RNAcentral